AACAACACACAACAUUCCAGGAAUGUACUACCAAAGUUCUAUCAAUAUUUGAAUGUCCUGGACAUUUAGGGAACAUUCGGUGAACAUCUGUUUAAAUUAUUCCUGGAAUGUUACCAUAAGACAUUCUGUGAACAUACUACCAAUGUUCCUAUAUUUUAAGUUGCGAAAUAAUACAUACGUGUAACAGAUUCAGAUACAACAUUACUUAUAACAUACCAGACAAACUAAGUGACAUUUUAGGCCUACAGUGUCAAAUUUAAAGAGUUUCCCAAGUUCAAUUAAUACAAUAUUAUAAACAUACAAAUGUAAUAAAAAUUAUUGUUCGCGAAUAUUCAAUUUGGAAUGCGAUUUUGUUAAUAAAAAAAUACUUAUAACUUAUGCAAAACCCAAGAGAGGCAUUAUUUAUAUUUAUUUCUUUUGCGUUCAUUUUCAAAUUCGCCGUGCAUAUAUUUUUGUGCAUGGCGCUUGAGAGGGCAUCACGUGACUAAAAACGACCAACCAACGACCUCGCUUCGGCCAUCUUGGCAUCUUCAUUUUCAUUUCAUCUUGUCCACCUUGCCCGGCCUUGCCUUGCCGUGGAUAGUUGUAUUAUUUGUGCUUUUUAAGAAUAUUUUUUUAAUUCGGAUACUUUUAUAAUAGCUUUAAUAGUAUUAUUAACAUAGUGCAUAAAAUGGUGUCCUGUUUUUGACGCAGUUGGAGUAGCAGAAACAAAUGUAGAUAAAAAAAUCUGCAGGAAUAACGUUUCAAUUAUGACAGAAGCUCGAAACAAAUGACUGUGAAUUAGUGUGAAUGAAAAGCCCUAUUAAAAGCUUUCCAGAAGAUCCUGCGAAGAAGACAUGAAGUAUAGAUCAGAUUUGUUAAUAGAGGAGUAUGUUCAAAACACUUUUUAGAAAAAGGUAUUGACAGAACUUCACUUUCAUCUGUUCGUUUGAGAGACUGUGCUGUUCCAAUAGCUUAUGUCACACAGAAUCAGCUGAGAGAAGUGGUCUACAAAAAACCAGAAAGGAAACGGAAUAUGUGGCUACGAAAAGCAAAAGAAAGGUUUACAAAGCAAAUGUGACACAUUUUUUUAUAAUAUUUAGGAAUGUCAGUAAAUUACAUUAAAAAAUGUAUGUAAAGAUUUUUUGCAAUAAAAAUGUUUAUAUUUA
Diabrotica virgifera virgifera (western corn rootworm) is the source of this 1148-nucleotide long non-coding RNA. RefSeq lists it as uncharacterized. The transcript has 3 exons. NCBI's taxonomy places the organism in Eukaryota, Metazoa, Arthropoda, Insecta, Coleoptera, Chrysomelidae. The record is from RefSeq and is a predicted model, not a curated record.